UCAGCUGGCCGUUCUGUCGCUGUGGCAUGACCACAGAGGAAAGUCCGGGCAACAUAGGGCACCGAGCUUCCUAACAGGAAGAUAUCCGCAAGGGUAUAUGUAGCAGAAGAAAAUAACCGCCAUGCAUUGUGUGGCAAGGGUGAGAAGGUGUGGUAAGAGCACACCGGCGUAUCUGGUGACAGUGCGACCGUGCGAAUCUCGGGUUGAAAGACCAUGUAUAUCGGCGUUUGAGGGCUGCCCGCCCAAUGUCGAGGGGUAGGUCGAUAGAGCCAUCAAGUGAUUGAUGGUCGAGAUAAAUGACAGAGAGCAAUAUUUGCUACAAAACCCGGCUUACAGGUUGGCUGAAAAU
RNAcentral lists this RNase P RNA (349 nucleotides) under Bacteroidales bacterium. RNAcentral's name for it is "RNase P RNA component class A". It matches the Rfam family "Bacterial RNase P class A". Rfam says of the family: Ribonuclease P (RNase P) is a ubiquitous endoribonuclease, found in archaea, bacteria and eukarya as well as chloroplasts and mitochondria. Its best characterised activity is the generation of mature 5'-ends of tRNAs by cleaving the 5'-leader elements of precursor-tRNAs. Cellular RNase Ps are ribonucleoproteins. The record is from RNAcentral. Lineage: Bacteria; Pseudomonadati; Bacteroidota; Bacteroidia; Bacteroidales.